Molecule: ribosomal RNA, 301 nt
Filed under: uncultured bacterium
Lineage: Bacteria
Description: partial 16S ribosomal RNA
Rfam family: Bacterial small subunit ribosomal RNA
Source: RNAcentral
CAGCAGCCACGGUAAUACGAAGGGGGCUAGCGUUGCUCGGAAUGACUGGGCGUAAAGGGCGCGUAGGCGGCGAUCAAAGUCAGGCGUGAAAUUCCUGGGCUCAACCUGGGGCUGCGUUUGAUACUUGGUUGCUUGAGUGGGGAAGAGGGUCGUGGAAUUCCCAGUGUAGAGGUGAGAUGCGUAGAGAUCGGGAGGAACAUCAGUGGCGAAGGCGGCCAUCUGGGACAACACUGACGCUGAGGCGCGAAAGCGUGGGGAGCAAACAGGAUUAGAUACCCGGGUAGUCCCUGUCUCUUAUACA